CUUUAAAGGAUCCUAGUCUAAU
This 22-nucleotide transfer RNA is filed under the name Egernia eos (Central pygmy spiny-tailed skink). Its description in RNAcentral is "partial tRNA-Leu". Lineage: Eukaryota; Metazoa; Chordata; Lepidosauria; Squamata; Scincidae. The record is from RNAcentral.